This is a long non-coding RNA of Quercus lobata, 832 nucleotides long. RefSeq lists it as uncharacterized. The transcript has 3 exons. The record is from RefSeq and is a predicted model, not a curated record. NCBI's taxonomy places the organism in Eukaryota, Viridiplantae, Streptophyta, Magnoliopsida, Fagales, Fagaceae.
UAUCAACAUUUUUUAAAAUCCUUUGGUCCUUGCUUGAUGAUUGACUUCUCUUGCAGAUAUCGACUUCUCUUGCAGAUAUCAAUCUUGCACGAAGAUGGCUUUCAACCUAUUUGGUGUGACAUCCUUUGAAUAGUCCAUUACGCGGACAUGUUUAUUUCUUCCUACAGUAUAUACAAGAUUUGAGCACAUUGAAGAUGCUACUCUUUACCUUGAUGCUGCAUCUACAUAAAGUUUCCAAUUUGUUGGGGCAGUUCAUGUGUUGCUAGACCUGGGAGUUUGUGUUGUUUGCAAUUUGAAGAGCAUGUGUUUUGUUGACGUAGUAAGCUAAUAGUGUCAUGUAUAUCUUAAAAUAUCUUUUAUUGCUUCUUUCAAUCUUCUAUGGGUAAGAUUAAAUGACUUCACAUGUGAACAUUUCAUAAAUAGAUAUGUUUGUAUCAAUAUGUGUGUGUGGCGUACAUGUUUGCAGGUGUCCCAGCUUUUGUAGCUAACUUAUUCAACCCAUGUCAAGCAUGUUGUAAUUUACUAAUUUGAAUUUGCUUUGAAUCCUAGGUGGUAGUUCAGAACUAAAAAUCUGAUGCUGGAAGGAAAAUAGUGGUCAUCAUCUCAACAUUUGUUUGUUAAGCAAGAUUUGUAGCUAAGUACUACCUGAUAUCUCAUCAGUCAUCCCUCUAUCACUUGAGCCAAGGCCCAAUUGCAACAUCUUACCUAGUAUUUUUUAUUGUUAUUUUUGGUGAAGUGUAGUUACUUUUUUUCCCCUUUGGGUAAAUUAGUCAAUUGUAAGUAUUACAUUACUAUAUUUCAAUAUAUAUUGUCGUCAUUGUUGAACGCAUUA